This 64-nucleotide transfer RNA is filed under the name Epuraea guttata. Its description in RNAcentral is "tRNA-Glu". It matches the Rfam family "tRNA". From Rfam's summary of the family: Transfer RNA (tRNA) molecules are approximately 80 nucleotides in length. Lineage: Eukaryota; Metazoa; Arthropoda; Insecta; Coleoptera; Nitidulidae. The record is from RNAcentral.
AUUUAUAUAGUUUAAUAUAAAACAUUACAUUUUCAUUGUAAAAACAAGCUUUACUUUAUAAAUA